Molecule: ribosomal RNA, 250 nt
Filed under: uncultured bacterium
Lineage: Bacteria
Also listed under: 1 other name
Description: partial 16S ribosomal RNA
Rfam family: Archaeal small subunit ribosomal RNA
Source: RNAcentral
CACCGGCGGCCCGAGUGGUGAUCGUGAUUAUUGGGUCUAAAGGGUCCGUAGCCGGUUUGGUCAGUCCUCCGGGAAAUCUGAUAGCUCAACUAUUAGGCUAUCGGGGGAUACUACCAGACUUGGAACCGGGAGAGGUAAGAGGUACUACAGGGGUAGGAGUGAAAUCUUGUAAUCCCUGUGGGACCACCUGUGGCGAAGGCGUCUUACCAGAACGGGUUCGACGGUGAGGGACGAAAGCUGGGGGCACGAA